This 92-nucleotide ribosomal RNA is filed under the name Microtus ochrogaster (prairie vole). The record is from RNAcentral. Lineage: Eukaryota; Metazoa; Chordata; Mammalia; Rodentia; Cricetidae.
UGUCUCCGGCAUGCCACCCAAGACUGUCUGUUCUCUUCUGAUUUCAGAAGUUAAGCAGGGUCGGACCUGGUUAGUAUUUGGAUGGGAGGAAC